ACAUGCAAGUCGAACGAAGCUAAGGGGGCAACCCCUUAAACUGAGUGGCAGACGGGUGAGGAAUACGUAGGAAUCUACCUUAAAGCGGGGGAUAACUCGGGGAAACCCGAACUAAUACCGCAUGUGCUCUACGGAGUAAAGCCGGGGAUCUUUUGACCUGGCACUUUAAGAUGAGCCUACGUCGGAUUAGCUUGUUGGUGGGGUAAAGGCCUACCAAGGCAACGAUCCGUAGCUGGUCUGAGAGGAUGAUCAGCCACACUGGGAUUGAGAUACGGCCCAGACUCC
RNAcentral lists this ribosomal RNA (285 nucleotides) under unidentified marine bacterioplankton. RNAcentral describes it as "partial 16S ribosomal RNA". It matches the Rfam family "Bacterial small subunit ribosomal RNA", at positions 53 to 339 of the family's 1533-position model. The record is from RNAcentral.